AGUUCUCAACUUGUCAAAUGAUCUCGGAGACUAUAGCAAGGUUGAACUGAAGAUCUGCUUAACUGAUUCCCUGGCUUAGUUCCAGCAUGUGCAAUGAUGCAGUUCUGAAGUGCCAAGUGCUUAAUCAUUAAGCUUGCUCUGGGACAAAAACAUUUUACAAGUUCCACUACACAAGUAUGUUGUUGAAUUCUCUUUGAAUGCAAGGCUUUUCAAGUUAAGAAGGCCCUUGCAAGACACCAGUACCUUGAUAUUUGACUUCCAGUCUCCAGAACUUGGAACCUGAACAGUCUGCUGAAGCACCUGAUGUUUGGCCUUCCUGAAUGUCAUGUAAUACGUACUUCACCAUCAAUUCAUACAGCAGAUAUCAUCAUACACAGUCCAGGUAUGAAGAUCUGGGCUCAGAGAGACUAAGUAAGUGAAUUGCCUGAAGACACAUUGUUGAGCUCUGUGUCUUCUUGACUAACACAUGAGGCCACCUCCUGGGGCUGUUUGAACUGUUUCUGCUGAUAGGGGAGGGCAUUUCUCCAGCCCUGCUUCUAGACUCCCUCUUAAUCUUCAGAUGGCCUCUCACCCAGUUGCAUGUUGAGUUAUCCUUUCAAAAGUGUACAUGCUUUCUCUGUGGAAGCUGUGGCAAAUUUCCAGACUUGGCAUCAGGUGGCUUUUGAUGAUUCUCAAAGAUAAUAUUCAUCUAACAUGAAUACAUUUUACUGCUCCUGGGGACACCUAUAAGAAUGCCCCACUGUGGCCGGGCACAGUGUCACGCCUAUAAUUCCAGCAC
RNAcentral lists this long non-coding RNA (778 nucleotides) under Homo sapiens (human). Its description in RNAcentral is "HSALNT0306108". The record is from RNAcentral. Lineage: Eukaryota; Metazoa; Chordata; Mammalia; Primates; Hominidae.